AGUUCUUAAACGUGGUUCGCCUGAUUCAAACGUUAUUUUGUUUUACGGUCAGCCUGGUCUCAGUUUGUAUCAGGAGCAUUAUGGAUUUCUUUGGCUAUUAUGCGGAUAAGCGUGAAGACGAAGAUGAUCUCGUUUGCCAGUAUGAUUCGACCUGGGAAGACGCGGAAAGCGAGUCUGACGAAGACAGCUCGACUGAUCAAACAAUAGUGUGCGGCUUUAAUUUUUUCAGCAGAACUUCUGACAAGGACACAUACCGCUAUGGCUACAGAAAUUCAGGGGGAAGAAAUAUUCGGGCUGCCCAGGACAUGCAAAACUAUCGACAUGGGUAUCCAGUAAGGCC
Megalops cyprinoides (Indo-Pacific tarpon) is the source of this 340-nucleotide long non-coding RNA. RefSeq lists it as uncharacterized. The record is from RefSeq and is a predicted model, not a curated record. NCBI's taxonomy places the organism in Eukaryota, Metazoa, Chordata, Actinopteri, Elopiformes, Megalopidae. The transcript has 3 exons.